CAGCAGCCACGGUAAUACGUAGGGUGCAAGCGUUAAUCGGAAUUACUGGGCGUAAAGCGUGCGCAGGCGGUUAUAUAAGACAGAUGUGAAAUCCCCGGGCUCAACCUGGGAACUGCAUUUGUGACUGUAUAGCUAGAGUACGGCAGAGGGGGAUGGAAUUCCGCGUGUAGCAGUGAAAUGCGUAGAUAUACGGAGGAACACCGAUGGCGAAGGCAAUCCCCUGGGCCUGUACUGACGCUCAUGCACGAAAGCGUGGGGAGCAAACAGGAUUAGAUACCCGCGUAGUCCCUGUCUCUUAUAC
RNAcentral lists this ribosomal RNA (301 nucleotides) under uncultured bacterium. RNAcentral's name for it is "partial 16S ribosomal RNA". It matches the Rfam family "Bacterial small subunit ribosomal RNA", at positions 509 to 807 of the family's 1533-position model. The record is from RNAcentral.